RNAcentral lists this transfer RNA (73 nucleotides) under Ailuropoda melanoleuca (giant panda). It matches the Rfam family "tRNA". From Rfam's summary of the family: Transfer RNA (tRNA) molecules are approximately 80 nucleotides in length. The record is from Rfam by way of RNAcentral. Lineage: Eukaryota; Metazoa; Chordata; Mammalia; Carnivora; Ursidae.
ACCUGUCUGGCUCAGUUGGUAGAGCAUGGGACUCUUGAUCUCAGGGUCAUAACUUCAAGCCCCAUGUUGGGUG